GUGUAGUAUUUUUAGAUCUAUGUUAUUACAAAUAAACAACAAGAAACUUACUUUUUCUUUUCAAAUCGCAGAUAGUAGAACGACAGGGGAUGGGAGCGGGCAGGGUUUAAACCCUGGACCACUGACAAAUCUGAACGACAGUCCAGCGCGCAAACCGCACGACCAAAAAAUGUUAAGAAAUUACCAGAGAAAAACACAAGGCUCGUAUGGUCAACAUUCUUGACAGGAGCUUUAAAAGCUAUCGCUGAUGGGAUGCCACUUAACAAUGUCUCCGAAAAAAUUACAUUUAUAAUUAUUAAAUAUUUCACUUAUACUUUUUAAA
Molecule: long non-coding RNA, 322 nt
Organism: Biomphalaria glabrata
Lineage: Eukaryota; Metazoa; Mollusca; Gastropoda; Planorbidae
Exons: 2
Source: RefSeq, a predicted model, not a curated record